RNAcentral lists this transfer RNA (77 nucleotides) under Erythrobacter sp. RNAcentral's name for it is "tRNA-Arg". It matches the Rfam family "tRNA". Rfam says of the family: Transfer RNA (tRNA) molecules are approximately 80 nucleotides in length. Their secondary structure includes four short double-helical elements and three loops (D, anti-codon, and T loops). Further hydrogen bonds mediate the characteristic L-shaped molecular structure. tRNAs have two regions of fundamental functional importance: the anti-codon, which is responsible for specific mRNA codon recognition, and the 3' end, to which the tRNAs corresponding amino acid is attached (by aminoacyl-tRNA synthetases). tRNAs cope with the degeneracy of the genetic code in two manners: having more than one tRNA (with a specific anti-codon) for a particular amino acid; and 'wobble' base-pairing, i.e. permitting non-standard base-pairing at the 3rd anti-codon position. RNAcentral also lists the same sequence under 28 other names. Lineage: Bacteria; Pseudomonadati; Pseudomonadota; Alphaproteobacteria; Sphingomonadales; Erythrobacteraceae. The record is from RNAcentral.
GGUCCCGUAGCUCAGCAGGAUAGAGCAGCGGUUUCCUAAACCGAAGGUCAGGGGUUCGAAUCCCUUCGGGACCGCCA